UCAGACCUCUUACUUUUAAAGGAUAAAAGUAAUCCAUUGGUCUUAGUCACCAAAAACCU
Molecule: transfer RNA, 59 nt
Filed under: Phrynosoma cornutum
Lineage: Eukaryota; Metazoa; Chordata; Lepidosauria; Squamata; Phrynosomatidae
Description: partial tRNA-Leu
Source: RNAcentral